GGGAUUUGUAUCAACUCUGCCCAGCUAUGGUUCCAUCACGCCUAUCCUCUUGUGAAGAUGCUACAGACAAAGGACUGGAAAAUGUCAAAGAACAGAAACUUCGACUGGUCUUAUUCCGUGUAACCUAAGGGUUCAAAGUUGAAAACUGUAACUAUCACAGCAGCUGAGGUCAACCAGCUCAACAGGGACUAAAAUCAAAACGAAGGCCUUCUUGGUCAGUAUUCAUCAGGAACACAUCAUUAAAUAAACACGGCCUCUAUCAGAAAAUGACCAGAAAAUCCCACAAUAUAAUUAAUGUUCAAAUCUAUGUGUUUAUUUUGCAAGGGCAUUAGACCAAAUCUUACUAUUGGAGUCCAAUUAAUGAUAACUGCCAUUAAUUAGAUUUGAAAGUCAAUAAUGAAGUUACUCAUUUUUUGUGUGGCAAUUUGUCAAAAAUGUGAGCUGAUAGUAUUGCAAUAAGGAAAGCAGGGCUUCUGGGACCAGAAUGAGAAAGACAAACAAGCUUGUUUCCCGUUCACCAAAACCAUUAAAAGAAAUUAGGAACUCUCAGCUCAAGGACUGAACAAGGAAGUGUAGGCUGGAGUGUGUGACUUCAAGGACUAUCAGGGACAGAAAGCUAAAUAAAAAGAGACAAAGGGGGUCUGGGAAAAAAGAGAUGGGAAAGGAAAAUGUCUUUUAUUUAAAUAUCUCUAGCAAUUAUGAGGGGUGAUAGAUAUGUUCGUGGCCUAGGUUAGAAGGAGAGGAGUUAUACAGCUCCCGUUACAUGCACAUGCAGGUCAACUCUUUGAGUAAUUAUGCAGAAAGUUUGAAGUUAAUAACAUCGCCUUCUAACUUAGGCCACAAAUUUAUGAAUCACCCCUGCUGUGGUCACUUCUUGGAGGUUCAAAAUCCGUAUGCUCCACAACCGCUGGACUAAGUGUGAAAAUGUAGGAGGGGACUAUGUUGAAAAAUAAAUGUGCUAAGUUUUUUAAAAUUGAAUCCUUCUCCCUUAGGCCAUGAACAUAUCAACCACCCUUUGUUUAUCUAAAGGAAUAACAAUCCACUGACAUAAUUGUUCAUUUUCAAACUCUAGAGAAAUUGGUUGUCAAUAAUUAACAUUUCACUUAGUUAAAAUUUUUCUAAAAAUGGAACAGCAAGGACAAACCUUUUACUGAUGGUUUUAGUUCUUACCUGCAAAAU
Long non-coding RNA from Hypanus sabinus (Atlantic stingray), 1179 nucleotides. RefSeq lists it as uncharacterized. The transcript has 3 exons. Lineage: Eukaryota; Metazoa; Chordata; Chondrichthyes; Myliobatiformes; Dasyatidae. The record is from RefSeq and is a predicted model, not a curated record.